This 570-nucleotide long non-coding RNA is filed under the name Cyanoderma ruficeps (rufous-capped babbler). RNAcentral describes it as "lncRNA (ENSCRFG00000003959.1)". Lineage: Eukaryota; Metazoa; Chordata; Aves; Passeriformes; Timaliidae. The record is from RNAcentral.
GACAGCCCCAUCAUCAGGAACCUCAAACCCAAGACCCUGGUAAGGUUAAAAUCCUGUUAAAAUUGUGAUUUAUUGAUACCUGCACCACCUGUCCACCAGGGACAGCCCCAUCAUCAGGAACCUCAAACCCGAGACCCUGGUGAGGCUGAGAGGGGUUAAAAUCCUGCUGAAAUCUGAAUUUAUAUAUGGUAACCUCAAACCCGAGACCCUGAUCGAUUCCUUCGAGCUGCUCUACUACUACGACGAGUAUUUGGGGCACUCCAUGUGGUACAUCCCGUUCUUCCUGAUCCUCUUCAUUUACUUCAGCGGCUGCUUCACGCCGGCGGCGCAGCAGAGCCGGAUGCCCCUGGCUGCCCUGCUCCUGGUGGGGCCCAGCAGCCUCUACUACUGGUGAGUGCCCCCGGAGCCUCGGGAUCCACGGGGAAUUCCCCCGGGAAUCCCCCGGGAAUUCCACUGGAAGAGCUGCUCCACCCCCCAGGGCGGAGUUUGCUCCGCGGGGCUGGAAAAUCAAAUUAAAACUGGGGGGGAAUUGAAUCCCUGGGGGGUGGGACAGCUCCAGGGUCAGCGCUG